UUUGAUUCUAAUGUUCACUCAGAGGUUUAGAUUUGUGUCAAAACACAACAAAAUUUAAGAGCCAAGGUCAUUGAAAAGUCAUGAGCUUGAGUAAGAAAUAGAUAAGAGUAAUGAUUGAUCAAGUCAUUGAAAUAAACAAAGGCAACCACUGCACUCAACUUGUGUGCUGGGUGUCUUACAUAUUUUUCAUGUAACUUAUUGUUAUAAACUCAGUGAAAUAUAUUAAUUUCUUAUUAUUGGAUUAUUGGCGGUAAAAGACCAAUUAUUUUAGAUUGAUUUUGUUCAACCUUUUUCAAUGUCUUAAAGACCCUUCUUUUUCUUUUAACCUUGCUCAGUCGGUAUGAACUAUUAUUUGUAUUGCAUAUAUAGUUAUUUUAUUUCAUAAAAUCAGGUUUAUUUGUUUCUUUAAAAAAAAAAAGUUAACUCUUAACUACUGUCAUUUUAACAAAAGUUAAAAAUAUAAAUAUAAGAUGCUCAUGGGUCUUAGCUCUCCCCCCCCCCCCCCCCCCCCCCUUUUUUAUUUAAGCACUACAGUUAUUCAAAUUUUAUAAAAUUAAAUACUCUACAAAUUUUCAUGAUUUCAAAAGUAUACUACACAAUCAAUAAAACAAAUCAAUAUUUUAGUAGUCAUUUGAAUACUAACAAAAUCAUCAAUUGAAGAUGAAAUCAAGAUAACUCUUAAUAUAUACUUGCCAUGCCUUUACGAAUCAUCUAUCAAUUACUAGUAAGAGGAACGAUCUGGUACACGCAGUCGUGCACCUUAUAAUAUGCAACUUUACGCAUGCUAAUAUCUAGGAGAGAGAGUUAAUGGGAUCCACAAUACACUUCUCUAUCUCAAAACUCAGCUCCACAUCUCUCUCUCUCGCAAAUCUUGACAUGCACAGUCGUGCACUAUAAGAUGUGCAAUUGCGUGCACUUAAACAAAAUCUUUAAUAUCAAAAUGUUAGUAAUAAUAAUUAAUUAUGUAACUUUUUAAAAUAGUAUGUGUAUAUUUUUGCAAGCGGUGUUAUCUAAGAUGUUUCUCCUCAACAUAAUUGUAUCCAUUUAAUUUGAACAAAGAGUAAUGCUAUGAUUAGACAUUGUGAUACAAAGAGUGUUUAUGGCUGUGUCAUUUUUUUCCGUUGCUAUUGCUUCAAAUGCACUGACCUCAUCUUCCACGAUGGGACAGUUGAAACUUGAAAGCAUUUUCCAUUUGCUGCUACUUCGACUCCACUAGCACCAUCUUCCGCUAUGGUACAGUGGAAAGCAUUCUCCAUUGCUAUUUAUUCGAAUGCACCAACCUGCGCUUCUUUUGCAUUGUCUUUAAACUAGUCCCAUUUCAAGUUUUUUUCCCCCCUCUCUAUUCUUUUCCCUAUUUCAGGUAAUAACCAGUGAGUUAGUUAUUCCGCCGUUGUUGUUUCUUUUGAUAUAUUUUUUGACAUGGGGUUGUUCAUUUUUCUUGUUUCUUGUUCUUUUUGGAACUUCCAUUGAAGCAAGUAAAAUCAUUUUACUUGUAAGCUGCUGCAAGCUGUUAAAAAAGAUGGCAAUUAGUUUCUCAUUUUCUUGUUGAUGAAGCCUGUAUAUGAAUAAACUACGCGCCAGCUUGUCAUUUUGUUAUUCAAACCAUUAUAUGGCAUGUUCUGCUUUCUGUUUUCUGUUUUCUGUUUCUUUCUUUUUUUUUUUUUUGGGAAAAUUUUCUAAAUACUUAAUUUUUCUUUUUCCCCUGAAUAUCUACAGAAUGAUUGCUAGAACAACGAUGGGCCAAUGGUUCAAUCUUUUACUAUGUGCACUCAUAGUACUAAAAGCUCAAGCAGGCUUUAAUGUAUCAAUCACCUAUGUUGAAAAUGCUGUAGCGAAAGGAGCUGGUGGGGAUUAGUGUGUAUAUAUAAAUUGACGCUUCAUUUUGUGAUUUUUCAUUAUUGCGUACUACAAUUUGUUAGCUGUUUAAUAUGUUUUGCAGUCUGUUUGGAUGGCAGCCCACCUGCUUACCAUUUUGAUAAGGGGUUUGGAGCCGGGAUCAACAAUUGGUUGGUGCACAUUGAUGUAACGUCCUCCUCUAUCUAAAAACAUUUCUUAUAUUCGCUGCAACAUUAAAUGAUAUGGAUGAAGAGUAAUCAAUCUUACAUAUUAUAGUCAUAAGAAUUCUGGUGAUGUUUACAUUUACCAUUCAUGCUAUGUAUGUAUCAUCUACCUUUUUGUGAUUCAAUUUGCCUUUGGCUUUGGUUUCUUAGGGAGGAGCAUGGUGCAACAAUGUCGAAGAUUGUUCUAAGCGAAGGGAUUCCUCAUAUGGUUCAUCUAAGCAUAUGGUCAAGGAAGCUAAUUUUACUGGGAUACUAAGUAAUGAGCAGAAAUUUAACCCAGGUAUGACCUUUUUGUGUCACUUAUUGAUUUGAUUGAUGCAAAUCAAUAAAUUCCCCUUUCCAUUUCUAGACUUCUACGAUUGGAAUAGAGUCAGGGUUAGAUACUGCGAUGGGGCAUCGUUUACUGGAGAUGUAGAGGCUGUCAAUCCAGUAGGUUAACUUUCGCCACAAUUUUCUUAUAUACAUGUUUUUGGGUUCCCUCGUGUGAUGUUUAGUUAGUCGGUGAUUUGAUCAGGAAACAAACCUUCACUUCAGAGGAGCAAGGGUUUUUGAAGCUGUCAUGGAGGAUCUAUUGGCUAAAGGAAUGAAAAAUGCUCAAAAUGUAAGAUCAUUCUGUUUUUGUUUUUAAAAAUAUGUUCAUUAGAUUGGUAUGUUUGAUAACUCAUUAGCACUUAUGACAGGCUAUACUUACUGGUUGUUCCGCUGGGGGCUUGACUUCGAUUUUGCAUUGCGAUAACUUCCGAGCUCUCUUUCCCGUUGAUACUAGAGUAAAAUGCUUUGCAGAUGCUGGUUAUUUUGUGAAUGCGUAAGCUCCUGUUCUUUCACCAAACGUGAUGUAGCAGUUGCUUCAGUUGUUUUUCUUUUCCGAAAUCUAAUUACCCAGUGUAUUUUUCAAUAGGAAGGAUGUUUCUGGAGAAAGUCACAUUGAGGAGUUCUAUAAACAAGUGGUCGCAUUACAUGUACACACUCUGUCUCUCAUCCUCUUUCGUGCUUACCGACACAAAAUAAUGUUUUUACAUCUUGUGUAGGGAUCGGCUAAUCAUUUGCCAGCAUCCUGCACUUCGAGAUUAAGUCCAGGAUUGGUGAGUUCCACCAUUUUAAUGUUUCUACGUUCUAGUCUUCAUCCAUUCGUUUAUGGACUGACCGAUUCCUUUUAAAAUGACAGUGUUUCUUCCCACAAAACGUGGCAGGGCAAAUCAAGACACCACUAUUUAUCAUUAACUCAGCAUACGAUUCAUGGCAGGUUAGCACAGUUCUUGAAUAUCUAAGAUUAAAUGUCAGAAAAUGUGAUACAUAAGCUUAGUGCAAGAAGGUAAUUUUUUGUACUUAGUGACAUCUCAAGCGAAGCUUGAUUCUUGGGCCUUCUUGUACAAGCAAAAAGAGACUGGCGGAAGAUUUGACACAUUUUUAAUAUGUUAUAUCCGAAGCCAUUGAAUAGUUUCAAUAAAUUAUGUGCAAUUUCAACCUGGUAAUAUUGUUACGAGCGGAAAAUGACAUACACAGAUAUCGAACAUUUUGGUGCCGGAAGAUGCUGAUCCAAAAGGAGCUUGGAGCAGCUGUAAGGUGGAUAUAAAAACCUGCUCAUCUACUCAGCUGCAAACUAUGCAAGGUAAUUCCCCAAAGCCCCGGAUUACUCCUUUCCCUAAAGACGUUUUUUCAUUUUAUUGUUGAUAAUUGAAAGUGUCAAGUCUCUUUGUAUACCUUUCAGGUUUCAGGGUGCAAUUCCUGAAUGCAUUGGCCGGACUUGGCAACUCUUCAUCCAGAGGAAUGUUUGUAGACUCUUGUUAUACUCACUGCCGAACCGAUUAUCAGGAAACUUGGUUUAGUGCGGACUCUCCGGUGCUGGAUAAAACGGUACGAGUUA
This 3924-nucleotide long non-coding RNA is filed under the name Citrus maxima (pomelo). RNAcentral's name for it is "long non-coding RNA (CMAX_LNC001486)". Lineage: Eukaryota; Viridiplantae; Streptophyta; Magnoliopsida; Sapindales; Rutaceae. The record is from RNAcentral.